RNAcentral lists this ribosomal RNA (484 nucleotides) under uncultured bacterium. RNAcentral describes it as "partial 16S ribosomal RNA". It matches the Rfam family "Bacterial small subunit ribosomal RNA", at positions 30 to 507 of the family's 1533-position model. The record is from RNAcentral.
AUUGAACGCUGGCGGCAGGCCUAACACAUGCAAGUCGAGCGGAUGAAGGGAGCUUGCUCCUGGAUUCAGCGGCGGACGGGUGAGUAAUGCCUAGGAAUCUGCCUGGUAGUGGGGGAUAACGUCCGGAAACGGGCGCUAAUACCGCAUACGUCCUGAGGGAGAAAGUGGGGGAUCUUCGGACCUCACGCUAUCAGAUGAGCCUAGGUCGGAUUAGCUAGUUGGUGGGGUAAAGGCCUACCAAGGCAACGAUCCGUAACUGGUCUGAGAGGAUGAUCAGUCACACUGGAACUGAGACACGGUCCAGACUCCUACGGGAGGCAGCAGUGGGGAAUAUUGGACAAAGGGCGAAAGCCUGAUCCAGCCAUGCCGCGUGUGUGAAGAAGGUCUUCGGAUUGUAAAGCACUUUAAGUUGGGAGGAAGGGCAGUAAGUUAAUACCUUGCUGUUUUGACGUUACCAACAGAAUAAGCACCGGCUAACUUCGUG